CAAACAUUCAUUUUCAUCAUGCCUCUUGCUCAGAAGACCGCCAAGAAGGCCGCGCCGAAGGAUGCGAAGGCGACCAAGGUCGUCAAGGUGACGAAACGCAAGUCGUACACCCGCCCCCAGUUUCGCCGCCCUCACACCUACCGCAAGCCGGCAAUGGCAAAGCCGAGCAACCGCGUGACCGUGGAGUCGAAGGAUAUUGCGGCCUUCAGUGUGAUCCGCUACCCGCUGACGACAGACAAGGCGAUGAAGAAGAUUGAGGAGAACAACACCCUGACCUUCAUCGUCGAUUCCCGCGCCAACAAGACUGAGAUCAAGAAGGCGAUGCGCAAGCUGUACCAGGUCAAGGCCGUGAAGGUCAACACCCUGAUCCGCCCGGAUGGUCUGAAGAAGGCGUACAUCCGCCUGUCUGCGGCCCACGAUGCUCUGGACACCGCCAACAAGAUCGGUCUCGUCUAAGCAGAAUUUGGAUGAUGCGAUUACUUGAGAUAAUUUCAUUUUCAUCAGCAAAAACGAAGUGCAACGGUAUCUUUGGUUCACCAGAGGCCGGCAAAGCUCUUAGGGUGGUGUAAUGGGCUGUUAGCGCUACGGUACACUGAAGCGAUCAGCUGCGGUAUCUGUGUGAGCGUCAAGGGUGCGCUGGUUUCUACAUCUCCGAGUUUUUGAUUCGCUCUGAGGAUGUAUCGCAAAAAGCACGCUGCGGUGCUGCUUUACUACUCCUGCGCUGCUGCUCCUUCAAAUGCGUCGACAUGUCCGAUUUUCUGCAGCUACUCACCUCCACUUUCAUCUCUCCCUCUUCCUUGUUGUUUUCUGUGUGUCCAUGCGCCUUGUGUGCGUCUCAACUUGCGACAACUUUUCUUUCGCGUCUCUGUGGAAUAACAUCUGAACAG
This 887-nucleotide unclassified non-coding RNA is filed under the name Leishmania donovani. Its description in RNAcentral is "gene:LdHU3.06.0690(CDS-product:60S_ribosomal_prot ein_L23a_putative)". The record is from RNAcentral. Lineage: Eukaryota; Euglenozoa; Kinetoplastea; Trypanosomatida; Trypanosomatidae.